RNAcentral lists this long non-coding RNA (413 nucleotides) under Ananas comosus (pineapple). RNAcentral describes it as "long non-coding RNA (ACOM_LNC043613)". Lineage: Eukaryota; Viridiplantae; Streptophyta; Magnoliopsida; Poales; Bromeliaceae. The record is from RNAcentral.
AUGAAUGUUUGAAUAUUCGUGAACUUGUUUGAGUUAGUGAUUUUCAUUAUGCAUGCGAUUAGGGAUUUUUGGAUCUGUGGUUUUGAUUUUAUGGAUAAUCGGUUUUGGAAUUAUGUAUUUAUACUUUGUGGUUUUCUACCCCUCGAGAUAGUCGGAUUUCAAAAUAGAGUUUUCGAGUGGGAAACCAUUUUAAAAAGGUUUUCGAAUGGUUUUUUAUUAAUGAUUGAAUAGAAUUUAAAAACAAAGCUUUCGGGUGGGAAGCAUUUUUAAAUAGGAUGACUGUUGUACUGUGUAUCGCAUCAUCCAGCGCCUGAGGAGUGUUUAAAGGCAUGCAUCAUUUCUAAGGAUCGCUAGCUGUAUGGAAAUGUAUUGCAUGAAUUGAUUGUGGAUUGGUAAAUGUAGGUUGUUGUUGU